UGUAUUUUCUUCUCUUCCGCAGCGUGUCAUCCUUGGGUUGUUUUAAAUCUUUAAUUCCAAGAGGUCGGUUCUCCCACCACAGCAUUCUGGGUGAAAAUCUCCACGCCAGACAUCUGUCUAAGGCUGUUUGUUCCGCCCUGCGCCCUUUAAGCCCCAUUUCCGCGCUGUGGAAGCAGGACAUAGCGGUGCAUGAUCAGAUGGAGACCAGCCAAGCUGAAGGGGCUGGAUCCCAGCAGAAUCUGAGGCCCCUAUUGGCUCAACCGACAGACUAACAUCUCUGCUGUAGCAGAGAACUUCUUCCCACAAGCUCCAAGGCCUGUCGGUCCGCAAUGCAGGGGCGGCAUAUACU
Long non-coding RNA from Brienomyrus brachyistius, 349 nucleotides. RefSeq lists it as uncharacterized. Lineage: Eukaryota; Metazoa; Chordata; Actinopteri; Osteoglossiformes; Mormyridae. The record is from RefSeq and is a predicted model, not a curated record. The transcript is spliced from 3 exons.